ACAUGGGUGAAUGGAUAAAACAAUAGAAAUAUGCAAGAUAUCAACUCCCCCAAACUUGUUCUUUACUUGUCCACAAGUGAACUUUCUAGAACUCAUGGGGAGAGAGGUUGAAGGUGGGAGCUCAUAGCCAAAAGAAACACAACUAGCAAACACAAUUAGCACACUCUCUUAUUACACUCUAGCUUCUCUAGGCCUAUCUCAACUCCUUUUGCCCCUACACUCAUCAUCAAGCAUCCACACAUUCAAAUCAACCAACUCUCACAUUCAUUAAGCAUAAGACAUCAAGUGAAAUUCUUGCAAAUGGUCAAUUGGUCCGAAUCAUUUGGUUGAGUAAAGGGAAGGUUUUUAUUCUAGUGAGUCAAACGGUUAAAAAUCCAUGAUCUUUUAAAGUGGUUUACUCUCAAAACAAGUAGCCUUGACAUUGCACAUAAUAUAUCUAAGAAAGGGACCAACUCAUGCAUACAAUGCUCAAUUUCCAUUGUUCUACCCUUUUCCCAAACAUAUAAGUUACACAAUCACUCCCCAAUGUCAAACCCAACUCACACCUCUCACCAAAAGAUUCUAAAAACAUCAACUCUUUUUCCUUGAAAUUUAUAAGGGAUUUUUCACAACCUCAAAACGUCUCUUAGCUCCUAACAACUUUGCUAGCCCCCUUUUCUUUCUUUUCUUUUUCUUCUUUUUUUUUUCGUUUUUUUUUUUUUUUUUUUAGGUUGGGGGCCAAGACUUUUCAAAA
This 733-nucleotide long non-coding RNA is filed under the name Brassica napus (rape). Its description in RNAcentral is "long non-coding RNA (BNAP_LNC009021)". The record is from RNAcentral. Lineage: Eukaryota; Viridiplantae; Streptophyta; Magnoliopsida; Brassicales; Brassicaceae.